UACGGAGGAUGCGAGCGUUAUCCGGAUUUAUUGGGUUUAAAGGGUGCGUAGGCGGAACAAUAAGUCAGUGGUGAAAGACUGCAGCUUAACUGUAGACUUGCCGUUGAUACUGUUGAUCUUGAGUAUGGUCAAGGCAGGCGGAAUGUGUAAUGUAGCGGUGAAAUGCUUAGAUAUUACACAGAACACCGAUUGCGAAGGCAGCUUGCUGGGCCAUUACUGACGCUGAUGUACGAAAGCGUGGGGAUCGAACA
This 251-nucleotide ribosomal RNA is filed under the name uncultured prokaryote. Its description in RNAcentral is "partial 16S ribosomal RNA". It matches the Rfam family "Bacterial small subunit ribosomal RNA", at positions 524 to 774 of the family's 1533-position model. The record is from RNAcentral.